Molecule: ribosomal RNA, 506 nt
Filed under: uncultured bacterium
Lineage: Bacteria
Description: partial 16S ribosomal RNA
Rfam family: Bacterial small subunit ribosomal RNA
Source: RNAcentral
AGUGAACGCUGGCGGCAGGCCUAACACAUGCAAGUAGAACGGUAGCACAGAGGACCUUGCUCCUUGGGUGACGAGUGGCGGACGGGUGAGGAAUAUAUCGGAAUCUACCCUUUCGUGGGGGAUAACGUAGGGAAACUUACGCUAAUACCGCAUACGAACUGAGGUUGAAAGCGGCGGACCGCAAGGCGUCGCGCGGAUGGAUGAGCCGAUAUCCGAUUAGCUAGUUGGCGGGGUAAAGGCCCACCAAGGCGACGAUCGGUAGCUGGUCUGGGAGAAUGAUCAGCCACGCUGGAACUGAGACACGGUCCAGACUCCUACGGGAGGCAGCAGUGGGGAAUAUUCGACAAUGGGCGCAAGCCUGAUCCAGCCAUGCCGCGUGUGUGAAGAAGGCCUUCGGGUUGUAAAGCACUUUUGUUGGGAAAGAAAUCCUGUCGGUUAAUACCCGGCGGGGCUGACGGUACCCAAAGAAUAAUCACCGGCUAACUUCGUGGCAGCCGCCGCGGUAA